GAUGAACGCUGGCGGCGUGCCUAAUACAUGCAAGUCGAGCGAACGGACGAGAAGCUUGCUUCUCUGAUGUUAGCGGCGGACGGGUGUGUCACACGUGUAUAACCUACUUAUAAGACUGGGAUCAUCUCGGGAAUCCGUAGAUAAUCCCGUAUAAUCUUUUGAACCGCAUUGGUCAAUAGUGAAAGUCGGUCUUGCUGUCACUUAUCGAUGCAUCUGCGCUGCAUUAGCUAGUUGGUAAGGUAACGGCUUACCACGGCAACGAUGCAUAGCCGACCUGAUAGGGUGAUCGGCCACACGGGAGCUGAGCCACGGUCCAGACUCCUACGGGAGGCAGCAGUAGGGAAUCUUCCGCAAUGGGCGAAAGCCCGACGGAGCAACGCCGCGUGAGUGAUGAAGGUCUUCGGAUCGUAAAACUCUGUUAUUAGGGAAGAACAUAUGUGUAAGUAACUGUGCACAUCUUGACGGUACCUAAUCAGAAAGCCACGGCUAACUACGUG
This 497-nucleotide ribosomal RNA is filed under the name uncultured bacterium. RNAcentral's name for it is "partial 16S ribosomal RNA". It matches the Rfam family "Bacterial small subunit ribosomal RNA", at positions 28 to 507 of the family's 1533-position model. The record is from RNAcentral.